This 1076-nucleotide ribosomal RNA is filed under the name Roussoella padinae. RNAcentral describes it as "SSU rRNA". It matches the Rfam family "Eukaryotic small subunit ribosomal RNA", at positions 653 to 1753 of the family's 1831-position model. Lineage: Eukaryota; Fungi; Ascomycota; Dothideomycetes; Pleosporales; Thyridariaceae. The record is from RNAcentral.
GCCGGUCCGCCUCACCGCGUGUACUGGUCCGGCCGGGCCUUUCCUUCUGGAGAACCGCAUGCCCUUCACUGGGUGUGUCGGGGAACCAGGACUUUUACUUUGAGAAAAUUAGAGUGUUCAAAGCAGGCCUUUGCUCGAAUACGUUAGCAUGGAAUAAUAGAAUAGGACGUGCGGUCCUAUUUUGUUGGUUUCUAGAACCGCCGUAAUGAUUAAUAGGGAUAGUCGGGGGCGUCAGUAUUCAAUUGUCAGAGGUGAAAUUCUUGGAUCUAUUGAAGACUAACUACUGCGAAAGCAUUCGCCAAGGAUGUUUUCAUUAAUCAGUGAACGAAAGUUAGGGGAUCGAAGACGAUCAGAUACCGUCGUAGUCUUAACCGUAAACUAUGCCGACUAGGGAUCGGGCGAUGUUUCUAUAUUGACUCGCUCGGCACCUUACGAGAAAUCAUAAGUUUUUGGGUUCUGGGGGGAGUAUGGUCGCAAGGCUGAAACUUAAAGGAAAUUGACGGAAGGGAGCCACCAGGCGUGGAGCCUGCGGCUUAAUUUGACUCAACACGGGGAAACUCACCAGGUUCAGAUGAAAUAAGGAUUGACAGAUUGAGAGCUCUUUCUUGAUUUUUCAGGUGGUGGUGCAUGGCCGUUCUUAGUUCGUGGCGUGAGUUGUCUACUUAACUGUGAUAACGAACGAGACCUUAACCUGCUAAAUAGCCAGGCUAGCUUUGGCUGGUCGCCGGCUUCUUAGAGGGACUAUCGGCUCAAGCCGAUGGAAGUUUGAGGCAAUAACAGGUCUGUGAUGCCCUUAGAUAUUCUGGGCCGCACGCGCGCUACACUGACAGAGCCAACGAGUUCAUCACCUUGGCCGGAAGGUCUGGGUAAUCUUGUUAAACUCUGUCGUGCUGGGGAUAGAGCAUUGCAAUUAUUGCUCUUCAACGAGGAAUGCCUAGUAAGCGCGUAUCAUCAGUACGCGUUGAUUACGUCCCUGCCCUUUGUACACACCGCCCGUCGCUACUACCGAUUGAAUGGCUCAGUGAGGCUUUCGGACUGGCUCAGGGAGGUUGGCAACGACCACCCCGAGCCGGAAA